Molecule: ribosomal RNA, 834 nt
Filed under: Pseudomonas sp.
Lineage: Bacteria; Pseudomonadati; Pseudomonadota; Gammaproteobacteria; Pseudomonadales; Pseudomonadaceae
Description: bacterial SSU rRNA
Rfam family: Bacterial small subunit ribosomal RNA
Source: RNAcentral
AGCUUGCUUCUCUUGANAGCGGCGGANGGGUGAGUAAUGCCUAGGAAUCUGCCUGGUAGUGGGGGAUAACGUUCGGAAACGAACGCUAAUACCGCAUACGUCCUACGGGAGAAAGCAGGGGACCUUCGGGCCUUGCGCUAUCAGAUGAGCCUAGGUCGGAUUAGCUAGUUGGUGAGGUAAUGGCUCACCAAGGCGACGAUCCGUAACUGGUCUGAGAGGAUGAUCAGUCACACUGGAACUGAGACACGGUCCAGACUCCUACGGGAGGCAGCAGUGGGGAAUAUUGGACAAUGGGCGAAAGCCUGAUCCAGCCAUGCCGCGUGUGUGAAGAAGGUCUUCGGAUUGUAAAGCACUUUAAGUUGGGAGGAAGGGCAGUUACCUAAUACGUGAUUGUUUUGACGUUACCGACAGAAUAAGCACCGGCUAACUCUGUGCCAGCAGCCGCGGUAAUACAGAGGGUGCAAGCGUUAAUCGGAAUUACUGGGCGUAAAGCGCGCGUAGGUGGUUUGUUAAGUUGGAUGUGAAAUCCCCGGGCUCAACCUGGGAACUGCAUUCAAAACUGACUGACUAGAGUAUGGUAGAGGGUGGUGGAAUUUCCUGUGUAGCGGUGAAAUGCGUAGAUAUAGGAAGGAACACCAGUGGCNAAGGCNACCACCUGGNCUAAUACUGACACUGANGUGCGAAAGCGUGGGGAGCAAACAGGAUUAGAUACCCUGGUAGUCCNCGCCGUAAACGAUGUCAACUAGCCGUUGGAAGCNUUGANNCUUUUAGUGNCGCAGNCUNACGCAUNAAGUUGACCGCCUGGGGAGNACGGCCGCAAGGUUAAAACUCAAA